UCAAAACUGUCCAGAAAACGAAAAUGGACCCAAGCUCCCUUGUCGCCCCUAAUCCAACAUUGCGAGGAGGAGACACUGGGCCACAGCUCUUCUGCUGUCCUGCACCCAAAAUCCUGAGGAUGCCAUGGAGCUCGGCA
Gadus macrocephalus (Pacific cod) is the source of this 137-nucleotide long non-coding RNA. RefSeq lists it as uncharacterized. The record is from RefSeq and is a predicted model, not a curated record. The transcript is spliced from 2 exons. Lineage: Eukaryota; Metazoa; Chordata; Actinopteri; Gadiformes; Gadidae.